Molecule: long non-coding RNA, 2201 nt
Filed under: Homo sapiens (human)
Lineage: Eukaryota; Metazoa; Chordata; Mammalia; Primates; Hominidae
Description: HSALNT0386812
Source: RNAcentral
GUUGUACUGUUGCAUGGAUUCAUAAUGUGCAUGUGUGUGUGAUUCAUCCAUACAGAAUGUUACAGAAAUAUUACUGGAAGGGGAAGAGACAGGAAUAAGAGCCAGUGAGUAUGAGUCACAGGCAGGGGAGAGAACAAAAUGCAAGGAGAAAAUAUAUAGGAUCCCUGUUCUUUUAAAGAACACACAGAAACUGAGGAUGAACAGGAAGAUGUAAUUGGUUAAGAUAAGAUCAUACUGGAUGUGGAUGGGUCCUAGAUCUGACUGCUGAUAUCCUUAUAAGAAGAAGAAAGGACACGCGGAGACUACAGUGAUGUUGCCACAAGCCAAGAAAUGCCAAGAAUUUCGGGAGCCACCAGAAGAUGGAAGAGGCAGGGAAAAAUCCUCCCCUAAAGCCUUCAGAGAGAGCAUAGCUCUGCCAACACCUUGAUUCUGGACAUCUAGCCUCUUAAACUUCCUCAGGUGUCUCAUUUCUUCUGUCUCAGAAGUCAUGGAUGUCAAUGAAGAUAUGGAAUUCACUUAUUCAUUCUUAUAAAUAUUACUUAGUGUCCUUGUGCUUGGCACUGUGCUUGGUCAUUGAGAUCUACUGUUCAAAAGCAAGAUAACAUACAGGCUGGAAUAGCGAGAUGCAAGAAUCCCAAGCCUUCAAAGCCAGCUCCUGCAGAAGAGAGAGGGCCUGGCAGCUGAGCUGGAUGCUUCAGGAGCAGAGGAUCUAUCAACUGCAGACCAAGCACAGGGAGACGCAGGCAAACCUGGAACAGUAACCCAGCCAGCUCCAAUUGCUCCGACAGUACUUGGUGGCCAGAGAGUCGGCAGCAGAAAGCAUGCCCCGGGCCGUGAAGCAGGAAAUCGACUCUGACUCAAUCCUUGAGGUCUGAAGCAGAUCUAUAGACAGAGCCAGACACCACUCCUCAAACAGCAGAGAGAUGUAAGGAAGUACAGCUAUUUGACUUCACCCUUAAAGGAUUUACACUGAUCGUGGAAGAUGGUUUUCUUGUGAACCCACCCAAAGGAAAAUUCUGAAUCCACCUAAAGGAAAUUUCUGGUUUUUCCAAAUUGAACAUCAAAAUUAAAUGCAGGGAAAUUUAGUGUUUUGCAUGCCCAAAUAUUCAUUGGUUCCUCAGCAUGUUAGUGGGAUCAAAUCAGAAGAGGUUCCCAAUUAAACAUUUAAAAAAUGCAUUCACACAAAUCAAAACUACAAUGAGAUAUCAUCUCACCCCAGUUAAAAUGGCUUCUAUCCAAAAGACAGGCAAUAACACAUGCUGGCAAGAAUAUGGAGAAAAGAGAACCCUCAUACACUGUUAGUGGGAAUGUAAAUUAGUACAACCACUGUGGAAAACAGUUUGAAGUUUCCUCAAAAAGCUAAAAAUAGAACUACCAUACAACCCAGCAAUCCCACUCCUAGGUUUAUACUCAAAGGAAAUCAGUAUAUCAAAGAUAUCUGUACACCCAUGUUUAUGGCAGUACUAUUCACAAUAGCCAAGAUUUGGAAGCAACCUGAGUGUCCAUCAACAGACAAAUGGAAAGAAAAUGUGGUACAUAUACACAAUGGAGUACUAUUCAGCCAUAAAAAAGAAUGAGAUCCAGUAAUUUGAAACAUGGAUGGAACUGAAGGUCAUUACAUUAAGUGAAAUAAACCAGGCACAAAAAGACAAACUUUGCAUGUUCUCAAUUGUUUGUGAGAGCUAAAAAUUGAACAAUUGAACUCAUGGAGAUAGAGAGUAAAAGGAUGAUGACCAGAGGCUAUGAAGGGUAGUGGGGAGGGUGGGAGAGAAGUGGGGAUAGCUAAUGGGUACAAACAAAAUUGUUAGAAAGAAUGAAUAAGACCUAGUAUUUGCUAGCACAACAGGGUGACUAUAGUAAAAAAUAAUUGCACCUUUUAAAAUACCUAAAAGAAUAUAAUUGGGUUGUUUGUAACACAAAUGAUGAAUGCUUGAGGUGAUAGAUACCCCAUUUACCCUGAUGUGAUUAUUACACAUUGCAUGUCUGUAUCAAAAUAUCUUAUGUACUCCAUGAAUAUAUACACUUACUAUGUACCCACAACUUAAAAAAAAAUAUUUUUAAUGCAUUCACAAUACAUUAAGAUUUUUGAAACUGGCUUGGUCUUUCUCUGUUCCAUAUCAAAAAAAGAAACUGCAAUUCAUUCACAUUUCCACCAGUGACAGGGAACUUACAAAAUAUUCCAUGGAAAUAGGAGAUAGGAA